This 66-nucleotide transfer RNA is filed under the name Crioceris duodecimpunctata (spotted asparagus beetle). RNAcentral describes it as "tRNA-Lys". It matches the Rfam family "tRNA". From Rfam's summary of the family: Transfer RNA (tRNA) molecules are approximately 80 nucleotides in length. Lineage: Eukaryota; Metazoa; Arthropoda; Insecta; Coleoptera; Chrysomelidae. The record is from RNAcentral.
CAUUGGAUGGCUGAUUAAAGCAUUGGAAUUUUAAUCCAAAUCAUAGUAAAAAAUUACUUCUAAUGA